RNAcentral lists this microRNA (20 nucleotides) under Homo sapiens (human). Its description in RNAcentral is "hsa-miR-4790-5p". Lineage: Eukaryota; Metazoa; Chordata; Mammalia; Primates; Hominidae. The record is from miRBase by way of RNAcentral.
AUCGCUUUACCAUUCAUGUU